UCUAGAGGCUUCCACAAUGGACGAAAGUCUGAUGGAGCGACGCCGCGUGCGGGAUGAAGGCCGUGAGGUUGUAAACCGCUGUCAGCAGGGAAGAAUGCCCGAAUGGCGAAUUCGGGAGAGACGGUACCUGCAGAGGAAGCCCCGGCUAACUCCGUGCCAGCAGCCGCGGUAAUACGGAGGGGGCGAACGUUGUUCGGAAUUACUGGGCGUAAAGGGUGCGUAGGCGGUUCGGCCAGUCGGAUGUGAAAGCCCAUGGCUCAACUAUGG
This 267-nucleotide ribosomal RNA is filed under the name uncultured prokaryote. Its description in RNAcentral is "partial 16S ribosomal RNA". It matches the Rfam family "Bacterial small subunit ribosomal RNA", at positions 355 to 618 of the family's 1533-position model. The record is from RNAcentral.